Molecule: ribosomal RNA, 1530 nt
Filed under: Escherichia coli
Lineage: Bacteria; Pseudomonadati; Pseudomonadota; Gammaproteobacteria; Enterobacterales; Enterobacteriaceae
Description: bacterial SSU rRNA
Rfam family: Bacterial small subunit ribosomal RNA
Source: RNAcentral
AGAGUUUGAUCAUGGCUCAGAUUGAACGCUGGCGGCAGGCCUAACACAUGCAAGUCGAACGGUAACAGGAAACAGCUUGCUGUUUCGCUGACGAGUGGCGGACGGGUGAGUAAUGUCUGGGAAACUGCCUGAUGGAGGGGGAUAACUACUGGAAACGGUAGCUAAUACCGCAUAACGUCGCAAGACCAAAGAGGGGGACCUUCGGGCCUCUUGCCAUCGGAUGUGCCCAGAUGGGAUUAGCUAGUAGGUGGGGUAACGGCUCACCUAGGCGACGAUCCCUAGCUGGUCUGAGAGGAUGACCAGCCACACUGGAACUGAGACACGGUCCAGACUCCUACGGGAGGCAGCAGUGGGGAAUAUUGCACAAUGGGCGCAAGCCUGAUGCAGCCAUGCCGCGUGUAUGAAGAAGGCCUUCGGGUUGUAAAGUACUUUCAGCGGGGAGGAAGGGAGUAAAGUUAAUACCUUUGCUCAUUGACGUUACCCGCAGAAGAAGCACCGGCUAACUCCGUGCCAGCAGCCGCGGUAAUACGGAGGGUGCAAGCGUUAAUCGGAAUUACUGGGCGUAAAGCGCACGCAGGCGGUUUGUUAAGUCAGAUGUGAAAUCCCCGGGCUCAACCUGGGAACUGCAUCUGAUACUGGCAAGCUUGAGUCUCGUAGAGGGGGGUGGAAUUCCAGGUGUAGCGGUGAAAUGCGUAGAGAUCUGGAGGAAUACCGGUGGCGAAGGCGGCCCCCUGGACGAAGACUGACGCUCAGGUGCGAAAGCGUGGGGAGCAAACAGGAUUAGAUACCCUGGUAGUCCACGCCGUAAACGAUGUCGACUUGGAGGUUGUGCCCUUGAGGCGUGGCUUCCGGAGCUAACGCGUUAAGUCGACCGCCUGGGGAGUACGGCCGCAAGGUUAAAACUCAAAUGAAUUGACGGGGGCCCGCACAAGCGGUGGAGCAUGUGGUUUAAUUCGAUGCAACGCGAAGAACCUUACCUGGUCUUGACAUCCACGGAAGUUUUCAGAGAUGAGAAUGUGCCUUCGGGAACCGUGAGACAGGUGCUGCAUGGCUGUCGUCAGCUCGUGUUGUGAAAUGUUGGGUUAAGUCCCGCAACGAGCGCAACCCUUAUCCUUUGUUGCCAGCGGUCCGGCCGGGAACUCAAAGGAGACUGCCAGUGAUAAACUGGAGGAAGGUGGGGAUGACGUCAAGUCAUCAUGGCCCUUACGACCAGGGCUACACACGUGCUACAAUGGCGCAUACAAAGAGAAGCGACCUCGCGAGAGCAAGCGGACCUCAUAAAGUGCGUCGUAGUCCGGAUUGGAGUCUGCAACUCGACUCCAUGAAGUCGGAAUCGCUAGUAAUCGUGGAUCAGAAUGCCACGGUGAAUACGUUCCCGGGCCUUGUACACACCGCCCGUCACACCAUGGGAGUGGGUUGCAAAAGAAGUAGGUAGCUUAACCUUCGGGAGGGCGCUUACCACUUUGUGAUUCAUGACUGGGGUGAAGUCGUAACAAGGUAACCGUAGGGGAACCUGCGGUUGGAUCACCU